This 73-nucleotide transfer RNA is filed under the name Clostridium porci. RNAcentral's name for it is "Clostridium sp. WCA-389-WT-23D1 tRNA-Glu". It matches the Rfam family "tRNA". Rfam says of the family: Transfer RNA (tRNA) molecules are approximately 80 nucleotides in length. Their secondary structure includes four short double-helical elements and three loops (D, anti-codon, and T loops). The record is from RNAcentral. Lineage: Bacteria; Bacillati; Bacillota; Clostridia; Eubacteriales; Clostridiaceae.
GGCCCCACGGUCCAGAGGUUGAGAUACCGGCCUUUCAAGCCGGAGAUGUCGGGUUCGAUUCCCACUGGGGUCA